AUGAUUAUAUUUCCAUGUUCCUCAUCUAUUGUUCCUCAUCAGGAACCCUGCUGGUUUUGUUCCUUUUUGCAUGUAGGAAGGCUAGGUUUUUGUAAAGGUGUUGUGGCUUCUUAUUCGUUUAGUACUCUAGCUAGGUUCCAAGGAAGGGGCUCUUUGGAGCUACCUUAUUGUGAUAUCUAUUUUCCAAGUGCUGCUAUGCUCGAUGUCGAGUAUAGCAGGCGCAUGAUUGAGCUCCGGGGAGGCCUGCACACGCACUUGCUGGAUGAUGACCUUAGGGCCAUCAUCGACAAUACCUACUUGAUGCGUUUAUAG
This 312-nucleotide ribosomal RNA is filed under the name Triticum aestivum (bread wheat). RNAcentral's name for it is "partial small subunit ribosomal RNA". Lineage: Eukaryota; Viridiplantae; Streptophyta; Magnoliopsida; Poales; Poaceae. The record is from RNAcentral.